GACGAACGCUGGCGGCGUGCUUAACACAUGCAAGUCGAGCGGAGCGGCGAACGGGUGAGUCACGCGUGAGUAACUGCCCCCCUCUCUGGGAUGACAGUUGGAAACGGCUGCUAAUACCUGAUAGUGGGGGAUGCCUCGCGUCCUAUCAGCUUGUUGGUGGGGUAGUGGCCUACCAAGGCGACGACGGGUAGCCGGCCUGGGAGGGCGACCGGCCACAUUGCUCUAAGGUACGGCGCAGACUCCUACGGGGGGCAGCGGUGGGGAAUAUUGCGCAGUCGGGGAAACCCUGUUGCAGCAACGCCGCGUGCGGGAAGACGGCCUUCGGGUUGGAAACCGCUUUCAGCCAUGACGCGGUAGUGGCAGAAGAAGCACCGGCUAACUACGUGCCAGCAGCCGCGGUAAUUC
This 405-nucleotide ribosomal RNA is filed under the name uncultured bacterium. RNAcentral describes it as "partial 16S ribosomal RNA". It matches the Rfam family "Bacterial small subunit ribosomal RNA", at positions 28 to 526 of the family's 1533-position model. The record is from RNAcentral.